RNAcentral lists this transfer RNA (75 nucleotides) under Paramuricea clavata. Its description in RNAcentral is "tRNA-Thr". It matches the Rfam family "tRNA". Rfam says of the family: Transfer RNA (tRNA) molecules are approximately 80 nucleotides in length. Their secondary structure includes four short double-helical elements and three loops (D, anti-codon, and T loops). Further hydrogen bonds mediate the characteristic L-shaped molecular structure. tRNAs have two regions of fundamental functional importance: the anti-codon, which is responsible for specific mRNA codon recognition, and the 3' end, to which the tRNAs corresponding amino acid is attached (by aminoacyl-tRNA synthetases). tRNAs cope with the degeneracy of the genetic code in two manners: having more than one tRNA (with a specific anti-codon) for a particular amino acid; and 'wobble' base-pairing, i.e. permitting non-standard base-pairing at the 3rd anti-codon position. The record is from RNAcentral. Lineage: Eukaryota; Metazoa; Cnidaria; Anthozoa; Malacalcyonacea; Plexauridae.
CGAUCACUGAGCUCAGUUGGAAGAGCAUUGGGCUAGUAUUCCAAAGGUCGUAGGUUCGAAUCCCACCGUGGCCGG